UCCCCAAUCCGCAGCCGCCUCUCCUCUCCAACCGCCCGCUCCUUCUUCCCUCGUCUCCUCUCCCCCAGUUCUUCUCUCGUUUUUCCUCGAUCAGUGACUACUCGCGGUGGAAUGAGGGCUCCUACGACGGCGGCUCACGCACGGCGGAGGAGCUGGGUCUAAGUCCACAAGAUGUGGCUGAGAGGGCCGACGGAGGUGGGGACGGGGAGAAGAUGCAGAAGGACGAUGGCACACAGGGGCUGUGCUCUUCCAGGCUGGGAGGAGAGGAUGCGGGAAGGGGUGAGGGCGCACCACCUGCCGCCCAGCGGCGCCGAUGUGGAGGAGCAGCGAGGGGCGGCUCUGGGGGCAGUGCUAGGUGGUGGAGGUGUUUGUGGCAGCGCCUAGCCUAGAGAAGGAGGCCAUGGGAGGCUCGGUUGGGUUGGGGGAAUUGGCCUGGGUGGGGGAGACAGGGAAAGAAAGAAGAGAGCAGGGGAUGGAAGCCUCAGCUCGAACGUAAUGAGAGCCGUCGGUAGUGAAACCGUCCUCCUCCGCCGUCCUACCUCUGGCGACCUUGCCGCAGAUUAAAUAUUAGAUCUGCUUCUCAAAAGGAUGUGGUUCAGCCUGUUGUCUUUCGCCAGGUCUGAUACAACAUCAAGUGGAGAUUCUCACAGAGAGCAGAUAGUUCCAUUUCCUCAGAAGCCUGCUACUACAUCCUUGAGAAUUGAUCAAUUUGUGCGCUCAUAUAUUUUGAAACGAUGUGCAAGAGCUUCUUGGUAGAACUGGAUCUAUUUGCAGAUUUUGGAUGGAUCAUAUCAAGACCCGCUGCUAUGUUGUCGUUAACUUCGUUAUAGAUGCGCAGUUGGAUUUUCUUUUUCUUCCAAUUCAGUUCAUCUACUCAUUCGGUUAAAUAUGACGCCAGCGCGCAGGAUAUUAAACUGCAACUCCUUAUGAUUUUCUUUUAAAUGUAAAAUUGCAUACAUUUUUCUUGGUGAAUCUUCAUGCACGCCAAGCCAUGCACCUGUUUUGCCAUGAAAUAUGGUCUCAUUGUUACUUAAAAACAUAUUUCGAGUCAGUUUCUUUGUGCAUUGCUUUGAGGUGGCAUAUCCAAGCCUCUUAUAUGUACAACGCUCCCUAUUGUUAGUGCAUAUAGUACUUGUGAACAUAGUUUAAACUAUUAUGCUUCUUGGAGAGAGCUUUUUUAAUUCAUGGUUGACUGUUAGACCAUUAGACCUUUUUCCUUAUAUUCUGUUCUGGAUAUUAAAUGUUAGGUAAAUUAGUACAAUAAGCUAUUUUGGCUUGCAUCGAUUUUUCUUCUAAUUGCUCCUUUUCUGAAUUGACAACUUAAUUAACUUAAAUUUUACUUUUCUCCUGUGUUGUUUUAAUAUUUCCAAAGGUUAUUACUUCGCGUGGAAAUUUCUCGAUAAAAUGAAUUUAUACAGAGUUCUCUUUAGCUGUUGCUUGUUGUUCCCAUUCUGUCGAGGCAUAUCUCCCCUGAAAAUGUUUCCAUGAUGAUUUUGUAUGUGAGUCAAUUAGAUUAUUUUCUCUGAUUUUGGUUUCGUAGGACAAACCGAGAAGUGUGGUUAAACUUUAACCUCACCCUGUACUGAAAUUGUUCUUUACUACAACAAUAUAGGUAAUUAGGUAUUAAACUACAACUCCUUAUGAUUUUCUUUUAAACCGUCCUCCUCCGCCGUCCUACCUCUGGCGACCUUGCCGUCUCGAAAGGAUCGCAGGUAUGGAAAUCCUCCUCUUCUCUGAUGCAUAUACAAUGUCUAUUGCGUGUGGUUUUUUAAUUAAGAUACGGGUUUGUUAAUUUCUAGAUUAAAUAUUAGAUCUGAUUCUCAAAAGGAUGUGGUUCAGCCUGUUGUCUUUCGCCAGGUCUGAUACAACAGCAAGUGGAGAUUCUCACAGAGAGCAGAUAGGUGAGAUUUCUCUGCUCUUUUAGUUAAGUAAAUAAACUUCACAUCGCUAUCUAAUUCCCUUCUUCUGUGUUCAUAUUCAGUUCCAUUUCCUCAGAAGCCUGCUACUACAUCCUUGAGAAUUGAUCAAUUUGUGCGCUCAUAUAUUUUGAAACGAUGUGCAAGAGCUUCUUGGUAGAACUGGAUCUAUUUGCAAAUUUUGGAUGGAUCAUAUCAAGACCCGCUGCUAUGUUGUCGUUAACUUCGUUAUAGAUGCGCAGUUGGAUUUUCUUUUUCUUCCAAUUCAGUUCAUCUACUCAUUCGGUUAAAUAUGACGCCAGCGUGCAGGAUAUUAAACUACAACUCCUUAUGAUUUUCUUUUAAAUGUAAAAUUGCAUACAUUUUUCUUGGUGAAUCUUCAUGCACGCCAAGCCAUGCACCUGUUUUGCCGUGAAAUAUGGUCUCAUUGUUACUUAAAAACAUAUUUCAAGUCAGUUUCUUUGUGCAUUGCUUUGAGGUGGCAUAUCCAAGCCUCUUAUAUGUACAACGCUCCCUAUUUUUGUUAGUGCAUAUAGUACUUGUGAACAUAGUUUAAACUAUUAUGCUUCUUGGAGAGAGCUUUUUUAAUUCAUGGUUGGCUGUUGAACACAGUUUAGACCAUUAGACCUUUUUCCUUAUCUUCUGUUCUGGAUAUUAAAUGUUACUCCCUUCGGUUCAUAUUAAUUGACUCUAAUAUGGAUGUAUCUAGAACUAAAAUAUGUCUAGAUACUCCAUAUUGAAGUCAAUUAAUAUGAAUCGGAGGUAGUAGGUAAAUUAGUACAAUAAGGUAUUUUGGCUUGCAUCGUUUUUUCUUCUAAUUGCUCCUUUUCUGAAUUGACAACUUAAUUAACUUAAAUUUGACUUUUCUCCUGUGUUGUUUUAAUAUUUCCAAAGGUUAUUACUUCGCGUGGAAAUUUCUCGAUAAGAUGAAUUUAUACAGAGUUCUCUUUAGCUGUUGCUUGUUGUUCCCAUUCUGUCGAGGCAUAUCUCCCCUGAAAAUGUUCCCAUGAUGAUUUUGUAUGUGAGUCAAAUAGAUUAUUUUGUCUGAUUUUGGUUUCGUAGGACAAACCGAGAAGUGUGGUUAAACUUUAACCUCACCCUGUACUGAAAUUGUUCUUUACUACAACAAUAUAGGUAAUUAGGUAUUAAACUACAACUCCUUAUGAUUUUCUUUUAAAUGUAAACUUGCAUACAUUUUUCUUGGUGAAUCUUCAUGCACCUGUUUUGCCGUGAAAUAUGGUCUCAUUGUUACUUAAAAACAUAUUUCAAAGAGUUUGAUAUUUCGUUACCAUGUAACAUGUUGGGUUACCUCUGCUGCACUUUGACAUUAUGGACUGUGUAAUGAAAUGUGCUUUCAGGCGCUAAGAUGGCCUCAGGGAGAUGUUAAGAAGAACCGAGAUGUUGAUGGAAGCUGGAAGGUGCUUUGCUUGGACAAACAUUCCAGUUUGCUGGACUUGAACCUGAUGAAGCUGAACCCCUUGAAAGGGGAACUUCUCCGCCCUUAUGAAGAAAUGGCGUCAGGAGCUGACCUGUGAAGCUUUAGUGAGAUGAUCGGCAAUACCUUGUGGCUUUGUAGGCUUAUUCCUGUAGCUACCGGAAAGUGUUGUUCCCUCUCGGCUGUUCCCAUUUUCAUUUUUCUGCUUUGUUACUAUAACGUGAUGAUGUGACUGCUUUUUUGGUUGCAUAUUAUUGGAACCCAGGGAGAAACCCUUUCAUCCGAAAGCUUCAACUAUUCCAUAAGAGCUUCGACCGGAUCUGAUCACCUUACAGCUAUAUACAAUGUUGUUCCCUGCAAGCCAAUAUUACUGG
Lolium perenne is the source of this 3725-nucleotide long non-coding RNA. RefSeq lists it as uncharacterized. Lineage: Eukaryota; Viridiplantae; Streptophyta; Magnoliopsida; Poales; Poaceae. The record is from RefSeq and is a predicted model, not a curated record.